This 496-nucleotide ribosomal RNA is filed under the name uncultured bacterium. Its description in RNAcentral is "partial 16S ribosomal RNA". It matches the Rfam family "Bacterial small subunit ribosomal RNA", at positions 28 to 506 of the family's 1533-position model. The record is from RNAcentral.
GACGAACGCUGGCGGCGUGCCUAAUACAUGCAAGUUGAGCGAUGAAGAUUGGUGCUUGCACCAAUUUGAAGAGCAGCGAACGGGUGAGUAACGCGUGGGGAAUCUGCCUUUGAGCGGGGGACAACAUUUGGAAACGAAUGCUAAUACCGCAUAACAACUUUAAACAUAAAUUUUAAGUUUGAAAGAUGCAAUUGCAUCACUCAAAGAUGAUCCCGCGUUGUAUUAGCUAGUUGGUGAGGUAAAGGCUCACCAAGGCGAUGAUACAUAGCCGACCUGAGAGGGUGAUCGGCCACAUUGGGACUGAGACACGGCCCAAACUCCUACGGGAGGCAGCAGUAGGGAAUCUUCGGCAAUGGACGAAAGUCUGACCGAGCAACGCCGCGUGAGUGAAGAAGGUUUUCGGAUCGUAAAACUCUGUUGGUAGAGAAGAACGUUGGUGAGAGUGGAAAGCUCAUCAAGUGACGGUAACUACCCAGAAAGGGACGGCUAACUACGU